This is a long non-coding RNA of Myotis myotis, 2356 nucleotides long. RefSeq lists it as uncharacterized. The record is from RefSeq and is a predicted model, not a curated record. The transcript has 3 exons. Lineage: Eukaryota; Metazoa; Chordata; Mammalia; Chiroptera; Vespertilionidae.
CCUUCGGGCGCCGCAACCGCCGCCGCCGCCGCCGCCGCCGCCGCCGCCGCCGCCAUGCUGGGCCCCGCGCCGCUUCCGGUUGGGGCGUGCCUGCGCAUGCGCACCGGGAGCCCUGGGUUCGCCCUGGGUUCGCCCUGCCCUCUCUCCGCCAAGUCUUGCCGCGCAAGUUUGAGUAACAAAAUGUAAGCGUGAAGCCACCGUUGAAGCUAAGAAAGGCUAUCGUGAGUGGAUCCACUGCCAAGAGUCGCGACGUCUGGAACUGAGGAUGCGCUCCUCCUAGACGGGUCACUAGUCUGGUGAAACUCGCGACCCGUCCGGUCGGUCUGAGGAUCGAAGGCACCGGAGACCGGUCACCCCUCCCCGGAGACUCCGCGCCCGGCUGCUGGAAACCCUAUGGGGGAAGACAAGAACCCAAUAGGUUCUCGAAGAAGGUCUCUAGAUGUCCAAUGGGUAAGACUCACUGGUCCUGUUGCAUUUGUUUUUGCUCCUUCUCAUCCAGGACAUGAUUCCCAUCUUGGUCGAACUUGGUGAAGGUAGCUGCGAGCUCAGUGAUCUCGUGCUCUCUGUGGCCCAGUCUGAGGAGAACAGGAUGAUGAAAUAACUUCUGACAAGCUGUGGCUGUGAUCUCUUGAUUAUGGACUCCCUACUCUUUUAGCCAGAUUCUGGCAGGAGUCUCAUUCUCUAGGGAAGAAAGGGACCACCUCAUAGGAAAGCCGGGAUCUCCAAGGUCUAGCAAUUUUACCCCCAAGAAAUCACUUGAGUCUAUUUCUUUCAUUCCUGUCUCCUGGUUCGAGCCCUUGUGAUCUCCUACAAUGCAAAAUCUCUUUGCCUUAAAUAACCUGCCCUCCAUUUCCUCAGCCUCCCCUUUACUCCCUACUUGAAAUCCAUUCUCUCUAAUGCAAGUAGGGUAAUUGAUCUUUCUAAAGUAUGGGUCUAAAUGUACCCCUUCCCUUCUUAAAAUGCCUCUUGAGCAUCCUAUCCUUUGGAUAGAGUAGUAGUGUUUGAGGCUUUUCCCAAUGUGGUCCUUGCCCAUUUCUAUGGCCUCACCUCCUGCUAUGUCCCACCUUUCACUGGAUACCUGAGCAAUGAGCAACUGCUUAUUAUUCAGUGCCUGGCCUACAGCUGGUACUUAUAAUAUAUUUCUUUAGUGUUUGUUAAUAUGUUUAACUGGGAAGCUGGGAGAGCAUAGCUAAGGAAAUAAACCAGUGUUUGUGGGGGAGCAUGGAACCAAGAUCAGAGUUUUGUGGGAGUGAGGGAUGUAUACAAUGAUCAUGGAAUUAUAUUACAUUACUCCCAAGAGUUGGUUCAACAAAGUCCACAACAUUAUAGAACAUGGUCAUAGACCUUUAAACCAAGGGCACAAUUCUGAAGGACAAGAUCAGAGACAUAUAGGCCAAGGUCAAAAGCCUAUUAGCCAAGGGCAGAGACCCAUAGGCCAAGAUCAGAGGCUUAUAGGCAAAGGAUGUAUGGUUGAGGGUCAAGGAUUUAUAGACCAAUAUCAGAGAAAGCUGGAUCUCUGAUUGCUCACUCCCUCAAGGUGUUUGUGAAAUCCUCAAACUGGAUCUUCUGCUCCCCACCCUGCAGGACCUUCUGCACAUCCGAAACCUGUUUCUUCCUGAGACGCAGCCUCAGUAGGGUCUUGUUGUAGCCCUGGAAAGGGAAACAGGCACCAGUUCCCACAGCCUCCUCCUCAUCCCUUCCCCUCACCCCCAUCCACAGGAUUCCAGGCUUCCAGGGACAGAUUGAAAGGACACAAGAGCACAGGCCCCUACAUCAGUCAGGAACAGACCAGGACACAGAGCCUUGGACAUGGGCCCUGAUGUAGAUAUGCAGCUCAAGGAGACUUAGUAGUUACCUGUUUCAGGAAGUCAGAAAUCUGUAGCUCAUCCUUCUGUCCAGCCAACUCCUCCUUGACCUCUGAAUAUGUGUCAUUGAUGAUGGCAAGAAACAUGUUCUGGAGGGUAAGGCAGGGAUGUGGGUCCUUAUGCCCAGACCCACUAACAGCAGGGACCCCACUGGCCCUAUUAAUGAUCUAUACAUGUUCUAAAGGGGCCAUGCUUUCAACCCCAGAUCUGCAGCCCACUAACCCCUGAAUCUCAAGGUCCCCAGAGCCCAGCCUUUCAGCAGUCCUGUUAGUGAUGGAUCAUGAAGUGGUGACCUCACUCCAUUGCUACAGUAACCUGACCAGAAAGAUACCCCAACAUAUGCCACAGCCCCUUCAUGUAAGGGCCCACCAGGCACUGAAGCCAGAAACUUUCCAAGGCGUUAAUAUAAUUGUGAUCUCUUUAUCAUCAAUCCAUGUCUGUAUCCCUAUCUAUUGAUCAAAUAAAUAAACCUGCUACUUUGUUAAUAAAAA